Molecule: long non-coding RNA, 906 nt
Organism: Quercus lobata
Lineage: Eukaryota; Viridiplantae; Streptophyta; Magnoliopsida; Fagales; Fagaceae
Exons: 3
Source: RefSeq, a predicted model, not a curated record
AUCUCCUACAUAGUUGCCCUCCCUCUUGAUCUCUGCCUCUCCUUCAACCCGUUGUCACGGCACCCCCAACUCCUACCCAUCAGCAAAAGCAAAGAAAAAACUGAAACUUACCAUUUGAAACCAAACCCCCAAACACUCACACUCUCCCUCUUUCUCUGUCUCCAAGUGUGAAGCUAUCUCAAUUCUCAAGGAGUGAAUGCCUCUCUGAAGCGACGCAGCCACUGGCCAGGUCGGCGGUUCCAACGACACUAGUCUUUUUCUCAUCGAAAAAUCCCUAAAAUCCCCCCUGGUACAGUCGCCGCCGGUGCCGACCAGAUUUAUCUGCGAUUCCUAGGCCGCUUCCUACAUCAGACUUCGCAAUCACAAGGAGACCCCUUUUCAAUCCACUAAAGAAGGAUCAUGGAGCUCUAAUGAUAAACUGAAUCAUGCUGGUGAUUUAGAUACCAUUCAUUGGAUCUCACUCCGUACUUGGGAGGGCAGUUGUUGUGAAUGCUAAUCCUAAGGAUUUGGAAGCAUGAAAGGCCAUUGGUUUAAAGCUACGCGUAUCUCUAUAAGAUCUAGCCGACUAUUGUGUUUUGCUUGGUGAGGUGUGCGUGUAAAAGAAGACUCCUCAAAACAAUUUGGAAACCAACUUUGGCAUAUCAACUCUUGAAUAAGCAGUGUUACAGCAAAUUUAAUUUGUAUAAGAGGCUUUCUCUCUUGGGGCUGCAGUAAUAAAAUUAGAGAAGUGUUUGUGGUUUGAUUCUUGUUAACAAGAAAAAAAUUUAGCUUUAGCUAGCCAAAAGUUUAAUGUAUCUUGUGAGAAAAGGUUUUGAAGCAUUCUAUGAUCAAUUGAAGCGUCGUGUAUCUUGAAGUCAACCUAGGCUAAUUUUCAGUUUUAGUAAAACAUUGAAUGUAUUCUCUAAU